This 1833-nucleotide long non-coding RNA is filed under the name Papio anubis (olive baboon). RNAcentral describes it as "lncRNA (ENSPANG00000049323.1)". Lineage: Eukaryota; Metazoa; Chordata; Mammalia; Primates; Cercopithecidae. The record is from RNAcentral.
UCUUUGGGGAACAUUUUAUCUUCAUCCUGCAACACACAUCCACCUUAGUAGCCUCUCCUCAACUAAUGUGGGAACUACAACUCACAGAGGAAAAGUGAACUGGAUCAAGGCCACUCUGAUCGAAGCUGGUCACGUCCCACAUCUGUGAGACAGUAGAGCCAGUUCUCUGCCCGGUGAAGCAAGCCUGUAAAAGCAUUUCUUUAACAAGUGACUUCAGACUUCAUGUAAACUCAACUGCAUACUGGAAGUCACUGUGAUUCUAAUUUUAUGAAGAAUUAUCAAGUGGAGCAUAUUUAACAAAGUGUGUGGGUUUUUUUUUUCUUACACAGUUUUCUUUUUUCUUUUUUUCAAGGUGCCUUCUUCUAAUUCAUCUUGUAUGGCUUCACCACUGUGGCUGUCAAGAUGGCAUGCAAAAUUAUCCCUCUUUCCAGGAAAUGGAAAUGAAAGCAAAAUGGAAGGACGUGAGGUCUUUAUCCUUGGAGAUCCUAUGGAGUCUCCACAGACAUUCCUUGAAGAAAUCAGGUGUGACGGAUGCUAAUGCAGAGCCUGGUGUUUAGCAAAAAUUGGAACGACCUGGAGCAGCCAGCAGAGUGACAAAUGAGGAAGAGGACAGAAUCCAGCUGAAGAAGCUCCGGAAGAUACCAUUUGAAGUCUGAGUGCUUGAACUCGCAAAGAAAGCACGUGAGUACACACUAGCACUUGAGCUCUUCAUUUUAAACAGAAUAAAGAAUAUACUGCUAGUACUGUCAUUUUACAGAUAGGGAAAUUGAGACUCAACAGGGCUACCUGGAUAGAAAGAAAAUGAGCCAGAAUUUCAAGCAAGCCUGAACUUAGAAUCUACACCUUUUUUUUUUUUUUUUUUUUUUUUUGAAACAGGGUCUUACUUCGUCACCCAGGCUGGAGUUCAGUGGUAUUAGGUUGGUACAAAAGUAAUUGCGGUCUUUGCCGUUUAAAACUAGAGCCUGAAACUGCAAUUAAUUUUGCACCAACCUAAUGCACUUACCAGAGCUCACUUAAGCCUUGACCUCCUGGGCUCAAGUGAUUCUCCCACUUCAGCCUCCCAAGUGGCUGGGACUAUAAGCAGGCAUCACCCUGCCCACCUGCCCAGCUAGCUUUGUGUGUGUGUGUGUGGAGACAGGGUUUUGCCAUGUUGUCCAGGCUGGUCUUUAACUCCUGAGCUCAAACUAUCCUUCUGCCCUGGCCUCCCAAAGUUCUGGGAUUACAGGCAUGAGCCACUGUACCCGGCUCAGAACCUAUGCUCCUAACUUCCACACCAAUUGACCUUGAUUCAGUCAUUUUCAUUUCUAUAGCACUUGGCAUAAUUUCACUUUGCACACAGUAUCUAUAGAUAAUCAUUCCAGGGCAAAGACAGAAAGAUCUAGGCCUGUGUGUGUUGAGGGAGGAAUGUAUUCAAAAGAGAAACUCCUUGAGGACAGCAGCAACAACCGUUCAAAUAAGACACCAUCUAUGGAGCACACAGUGUGUGACUGCCGCUGCAUGCUACUGCAUAUAAUCGUCAUAAGAUAAUUUAUGUUAUUACAUGUGUAUUACUGCAUGUAAUCUUCACGUGUUAUUGCCUCUAACAAGUUAUGUAUUUACAUAUAGUCUCAUAACUGUGUAUAGAAGGCCAUUUUAGAGAUGGAAAACUGAGACUCAGAAGCAGUAAUUGUCUUGUUAGUCAGAUUUAGCCAGGGUUUGGACUGUGAAAUGCAGAGGACCACUUACUUUUCACUACACCAUAAAUGUUCCUCACCACUGAGGCAUGUCAAAUACCAGAUAUCUCCAGGAACCUUAGGCUACGUCUCCAUUGUUUUUGCCUUUUUCCCCCCUAGG